This 691-nucleotide ribosomal RNA is filed under the name uncultured archaeon. Its description in RNAcentral is "bacterial SSU rRNA". It matches the Rfam family "Archaeal small subunit ribosomal RNA", at positions 168 to 859 of the family's 1478-position model. The record is from RNAcentral.
UCCUGUAAUGGUUUUUUGUUUAAAUGUUUUUUCGCCUAGGGAUGGGUCUGCGGCCGAUUAGGUAGUUGGUUAGGUAAUGGCUUACCAAGCCGUUGAUCGGUACGGGUUGUGAGAGCAAGAGCCCGGAGAUGGAACCUGAGACAAGGUUCCAGGCCCUACGGGGUGCAGCAGGCGCGAAACCUCCGCAAUGUGAGAAAUCGCGACGGGGGGAUCCCAAGUGCCAUUCUUAACGGGAUGGCUUUUCAUUAGUGUAAAGAGCUCUUGGAAUAAGAGCUGGGCAAGACCGGUGCCAGCCGCCGCGGUAACACCGGCAGCUCUAGUGGUAGCAAUUUUUAUUGGGCCUAAAGCGUCCGUAGCCGGUUUAAUAAGUCUCUGGUGAAAUCCUGUAGCUUAACUGUGGGAAUUGCUGGAGAUACUAUUAGACUUGAGACCGGGAGAGGUUGGAGGUACUCCCAGGGUAGAGGUGAAAUUCUGUAAUCCUGGGAGGACCGCCUGUUGCGAAGGCGUCUAACUGGAACGGUUCUGACGGUGAGGGACGAAAGUUAGGGGCGCGAACCGGAUUAGAUACCCGGGUAGUCCUAACUGUAAACGAUGCGGACUUGGUGUUGGGGUGGCUUUGAGCUGCUCCAGUGCCGAAGGGAAGCUGUUAAGUCCGCCGCCUGGGAAGUACGGUCGCAAGACUGAAACUUAA